This 82-nucleotide microRNA precursor is filed under the name Drosophila guanche. It matches the Rfam family "mir-29 microRNA precursor family". Rfam says of the family: This family represents the microRNA (miRNA) precursors mir-29. Lineage: Eukaryota; Metazoa; Arthropoda; Insecta; Diptera; Drosophilidae. The record is from RNAcentral.
GAAGAACUGAGAUCGAUUGGUGCAUAGAUAUAAAGAGGACUCGCUAAUUUUCAACUCUAGCACCAUUCGAAAUCAGUGCUUU